Molecule: long non-coding RNA, 553 nt
Filed under: Musa acuminata (dwarf banana)
Lineage: Eukaryota; Viridiplantae; Streptophyta; Magnoliopsida; Zingiberales; Musaceae
Description: long non-coding RNA (MACU_LNC008455)
Source: RNAcentral
UUAUUAAGAGGGAGCCCAAUAGUUAUUAAGAGGACUAUCAUAUAGGGAAUACAGGCACCAACGAAGACUUAUCUCGCGUGGAAUAAGUAAGAGCCGGAGUUAGUUGGGCUAAAAUGUAUAUGAUCUGAUUGGAUUCCAAAUCUCAUGUAUAUGAUCUAAUUGGAUUAAGGGAAGUAUUGUAUCUAAUGGGUAAUAAGAAUAUAUUAUAUGCUAGGUACAGUAUAUUCAUGUGAAUGAGUUUCUAUAUAAUAGCAUCCAAGAUAUGAUAGUAACUAAAAAACUCACUUAUGUUUUUCCGUUGCUUGAAGAGAGCGUUACCGAAUCUCAUGAUUAUUGAAUACAAGUUCUAGAAGUAAACAAGCAACUCCACUCUACUAUACUAGGAAAGUACCAAGCAAGUAUAUACUAACUAAGUACAACGUGAACCCGUAAUAAGAAGGAGCUUCUCUUGGGCUUUGUUGCUAGUUAUGACUUAGGGGCAGGGAUAGUGAGUUUUCAAGCUUUGCUCUGGUAGGUUAUUCUAAUGCUCUAGUAGGUUUCUCUAUUGCUCUGG